GUGUUGCCAAAGGAGAUUAACAUUCAAGUCAGUGGGCUGGGAAAGGCAGACCCACCCUUAACGUGGGUGGGCACCAUUUAAUCAGCUGCCAGCUUGUUUAAAAUAUAAAGCCUAGCCUCCCAGCCUACAUCUUUCUCCUGUACUGGAUGCUUCCUGCCCUCAAACAUCAGACUCCAGGUUCUUCAGUUUUGGGACUCGGACUGGCUCUCCUUGCUCCUCAGCCUGCAGAUGGCCUAUUGCAGGACCAUGUGAUCAUAUAGAGACACAUUUGCCAUGAAGCUUAAGUUCAGGACCCCUCGCUAGCAUGGGCAUCUCCCCUGGAAUGUAUCCAUAUGGCCAUAUGUUUCUACAAAGGCUGCAAAGGUGAGAUUAAGGUAAGAUCGUUUGACUACAAUUCCUUUCCACUCUGAUUUUCUUCCUUACACUUCCCUUCAUGUUAAUACGAUGUUAGCAUGAUGGAUAUAAGUGGCUGAAAGCAUUUUUGGGGUCUGAAUAAGAGGAAGUAGAGCUCUGAAUAUAUUUAGUUUGGGUUUAGUGGGAUAUAUUUAUGUGGUUUCUAGGCUGUCCAUGUGUAGUUAAGUUAUCAUUAGCCAUCCCAGUAGAGGAUGGCUUCCAGGAAUACUCCUGCCCACUGUCUGAGUCACCUGUGGUGGUGACGUAAAGGUGCAGAACCAAAGGUCAUCUCAUAUAUGAAUGUGUUCUAUGGCAUGCAGAACCAAAAGUAUGUGGAAGUGGAU
RNAcentral lists this long non-coding RNA (737 nucleotides) under Homo sapiens (human). Its description in RNAcentral is "HSALNT0073465". The record is from RNAcentral. Lineage: Eukaryota; Metazoa; Chordata; Mammalia; Primates; Hominidae.